Molecule: long non-coding RNA, 1530 nt
Filed under: Physcomitrium patens
Lineage: Eukaryota; Viridiplantae; Streptophyta; Bryopsida; Funariales; Funariaceae
Description: long non-coding RNA (PPAT_LNC001171)
Source: RNAcentral
UAAAAUAGAAUUGACGUUUUGGACGAUUUCAAGAGUUUUGUAAUAGAUCUACAAGUAAAAUUUUGUGAAUUAAUGGUUAUAGUUGUGUUUAAUAUGUAUUGUGAAUUUUAGCUUUAUCUAAUUGUUGAAUUGAGGGUUAUUGAGGUUUAAGUGGGUCAAGGUAUCAGAAAGUAGAAUUUUAGGUUGAGUGAGGGUUUUUAAGAUUUCUUGCAAUCUACUAAUUGGAUUGGAGUGAAAUUUAUGAGUGAAGAUAGUAGACUUAUUUUCAUAUAUAUAUAUAUAUAUAUAUAUAUAUAUAUAUAUGAAAAUUUUAAAAUCAAUUGAAUAAUGAAAAAAAGAGAUAUUGGCUCUGGGAGAUUGGCAUGAAGGUCGGAGAAGGAGUCUAGCUAAUAUUUGAGCACGUUUUUGAGGUUAUCAUCUAUUUGGUAAUUUUAAUAUUUUUUAAUUUUUUUAUUUGUUUUAACUUAAUUAUUAAGAAGUGUAUAAAUUUUGAACUAAAAUCAAUGGUUCAUUUAUUAGUUAUUGAGGUUUAAAUUUAUUAUAGGAAUUACUAGGAUUUGAUUUAGGACUUAGAAUUUGGUUAGGAUUUGAUUUAGGAUUAGGAUUUGAUUAAGGUUUGAUUUAGGAUUUAUGAUUUGGUUAGGAUUUGAUUUAGAAUUUAAGUUAUAGUUAGUUUUUGGCCUAAAGUUUGAUUGCAAUCCAAUAGGAUUUUAAAUAAGAUUAAAUUAAGAUUAGAUUAAGAUUUAUUUGAGAUAUAUUUGUGACCAUUCUAAUAUUUCUUUAAGAUUUUUUAAUAUUUUUUUUGUAAUUAUUUUAAGGUUUCUUUGAAUUGAUUAAAGCUUACAGUAGAAUAGGCAAAUAAACUUUGUGGUAAGUUAUUGGUUGGUUAUUGAUAACCUUGAGAAUUAGACUGAUGGUUAGGCAGUUUAGUUGAUAAAAGUAGGUUAUUAGUGGAAUAAAUGGUUAAGAAUUCAAAGGGUCAUAACCUUUGGAAUCUGCUGACUGAUGGAUCAUCUUUUUGGUUGCAUAAAGAGGUUGAGAAAAGGGAGAUUGGGGCCAGAUUGUGAUAGUCAUAAGCCAGGGCAAGCUUGGUGCUACUUCUUUUUGUUUCUUUAUUGUUGACGAGUAAUAGAUAGUUUUUGAAUACUGAGAAGUUAGUCUGAAGUGCCAAACUAUGAGAGUCGUAAGUCAAGAUAUUGAAUUCUAUGUGAUGAAUUGAGAAAUUGAAUACAAUAGAUAAGUUGGAGAUCAGUAAUUGAAUAUAUAUAAACCACAAAGAAAGUAAGUGGGAGAUGAACAAAUAAGAAUAUGAAAAUAUUAUUGAAUUGAUAGUCGAAGAAUGGAUUAUGGGUUGAAUUAAGAUGGAAGUAGUAAGCCUUGGUGUUUUGUAGUUUGAUAAUUGAUUUCAGAUAGCCAAAGUACAAUCAAUUGUGACACUAACAGAUCCAAUUCAUAUAACUAGUCUUUUUUCGUGUUCAAAUCUACUUCUAUUAGUUCAAUUGCUUUGGUAUAUUGAAGCUUGAACACAAU